This 288-nucleotide long non-coding RNA is filed under the name Mytilus galloprovincialis (Mediterranean mussel). The record is from RNAcentral. Lineage: Eukaryota; Metazoa; Mollusca; Bivalvia; Mytilida; Mytilidae.
GUUUUCUCUUAAUUUUGAGUGUGAAUUCACAUUGCGAUAAGACGUGUCACGGUACUUGUCUAUCCCAAAUUCAUGUAUUUGGAUUUGAUGUUAUAUUUGUUUUUCUCGUGGGAUUUUGUCUGAUGCUUGGUCCGUUUCUGCGUGUGUUACAUUGUAGUGUUGUGUCGUUGUUCUCCUCUUAUAUUUAAUGCGUUUCCCUCAGUUUUAGUUUGUUACCUCGAUUUUGUUUUUUGUCCAUAGAUUUAUGAGUUUGAACAGCGGUAUACUACUGUUGCCUUUAUUUACAUU